Molecule: ribosomal RNA, 1740 nt
Filed under: Halomonas sp. S2151
Lineage: Bacteria; Pseudomonadati; Pseudomonadota; Gammaproteobacteria; Oceanospirillales; Halomonadaceae
Also listed under: 1 other name
Description: bacterial LSU rRNA
Rfam family: Bacterial large subunit ribosomal RNA
Source: RNAcentral
GCGGUAGAGGAGCGUCGUGUAAGCCGAUGAAGGUGUGUUGAGAAGCAUGCUGGAGGUAUCACGAGUGCGAAUGCUGACAUGAGUAACGACAAGGGGAGUGAAAAACUCCCCCGCCGGAAGACCAAGGGUUUCUGUUCGACGCUAAUCGGAGCAGAGUGAGUCGGCCCCUAAGGCGAGGCCGAAAGGCGUAGUCGAUGGGAAACGGGUCAAUAUUCCCGUACCUCACAGUAUUGCGAUGGGGGGACGAAGAAGGCUAGGUGAGCCAGGCGUUGGUUGUCCUGGUGAAAGCCGGUAGGCUGAGGAUUCAGGUAAAUCCGGAUCCUUAAGGCCGAGAGGCGAGACGAACUGACUACGGUCAGGAAGUCAUCGAUGCCACGCUUCCAGGAAAAGCCUCUAAGCUUCAGAUACUGUGAGACCGUACCCCAAACCGACACAGGUGGUCAGGUAGAGAAUACCAAGGCGCUUGAGAGAACUCGGGUGAAGGAACUAGGCAAAAUGGUGCCGUAACUUCGGGAGAAGGCACGCCGCAUUAGGGUGAAGGUCCUCGCGACCGGAGCCUGACGCGGUCGAAGAUACCAGGUGGCUGCAACUGUUUAUUAAAAACACAGCACUCUGCAAACGCGCAAGCGGACGUAUAGGGUGUGACGCCUGCCCGGUGCCGGAAGGUUAAGUGAUGGUGUUAGCUCACGCGAAGCUCCUGAUCGAAGCCCCGGUAAACGGCGGCCGUAACUAUAACGGUCCUAAGGUAGCGAAAUUCCUUGUCGGGUAAGUUCCGACCUGCACGAAUGGCGUAAUGAUGGCCACGCUGUCUCCACCCGAGACUCAGUGAAAUUGAAAUCGCAGUGAAGAUGCUGUGUACCCGCGGCUAGACGGAAAGACCCCGUGAACCUUUACUACAGCUUCACACUGGACGCUGAUGUUGCUUGUGUAGGAUAGCUGGGAGGCUUUGAAACCCUGUCGCCAGAUGGGGUGGAGCCAACCUUGAAAUACCAGCCUGGCAUCAUUGGCGUUCUAACUCAGGACCGUAAUCCGGUUCGAGGACCGUGUGUGGUGGGUAGUUUGACUGGGGCGGUCUCCUCCCAAAGAGUAACGGAGGAGCACGAAGGUACCCUCAGCACGGUUGGAAAUCGUGCAGUGAGUGCAAGAGCAUAAGGGUGCUUAACUGCGAGACAGACACGUCGAGCAGAUACGAAAGUAGGUUCUAGUGAUCCGGUGGUUCUGUAUGGAAGGGCCAUCGCUCAACGGAUAAAAGGUACUCCGGGGAUAACAGGCUGAUACCGCCCAAGAGUUCACAUCGACGGCGGUGUUUGGCACCUCGAUGUCGGCUCAUCACAUCCUGGGGCUGAAGUCGGUCCCAAGGGUAUGGCUGUUCGCCAUUUAAAGUGGUACGCGAGCUGGGUUUAGAACGUCGUGAGACAGUUCGGUCCCUAUCUGCCGUGGGCGUUGGAGAUUUGAGAAGCGCUGCUCCUAGUACGAGAGGACCGGAGUGGACGUACCUCUGGUGUUCCGGUUGUCACGCCAGUGGCAUUGCCGGGUAGCUAUGUACGGACGGGAUAACCGCUGAAAGCAUCUAAGCGGGAAGCCCCCUUCAAGAUGAGAUCUCCCUGAGGCCUUGAGCCUCCUAAAGGACCCAGCAAGACCAGCUGGUUGAUAGGCCGGGUGUGGAAGCGCUGCAAGGCGUUGAGCUAACCGGUACUAAUGGUCCGUGAGGCUUGACCAUAUAACACCCAAAGGGUUUUG